Molecule: RNase P RNA, 549 nt
Filed under: Pseudothauera nasutitermitis
Lineage: Bacteria; Pseudomonadati; Pseudomonadota; Betaproteobacteria; Rhodocyclales; Zoogloeaceae
Description: Bacterial RNase P class A
Rfam family: Bacterial RNase P class A
About the family: Ribonuclease P (RNase P) is a ubiquitous endoribonuclease, found in archaea, bacteria and eukarya as well as chloroplasts and mitochondria. Its best characterised activity is the generation of mature 5'-ends of tRNAs by cleaving the 5'-leader elements of precursor-tRNAs.
Source: Rfam by way of RNAcentral
GAAGUCCGCCAGGCAAUCGCUGCGCGCCCUCGUGGCGCGUGGAGGAAAGUCCGGGCCCCGCAGAGCAGGAUGCCGGCUAACGGCCGGGCGCCGCGAGGCGACGGAAAGUGCAACAGAGAGCAGACCGCCGAUGGCUUGGGCUUCGCCGCCGACAGGCGGCAAAGUCCCCUUCGUGGAGGAGGUCGCCUUCGGGUGGCGUUUCUUCGCGGAAGGGCUUCGCCGCCGACAGGCGGCAAAGUCCUUUGAAGAGCUUGCUCUUCGAAAAGCACAGGCAAGGGUGAAACGGUGCGGUGGCGCGCGUAAGCGCGUCAGCGGCCAGGGCGAAAGCCUUGGCGGGUAAGAGCCCACCGCGGGACUGGCAACAGGACCGGCACGGCAAACCCCAUCCGGGGCAAGGCCAAAUAGGGGAGCGAUGGCGUGGCUCGCGCUGCUCCCGGGUAGGCUGCUUGAGCGCCGCGGCAACGCGGCGCCCAGAGGAAUGAUUGCCCGGCGCCGCGGACUCCGGUUCGUGGCGUUCGACAGAACCCGGCUUAUCGGCGGACUUCCUUC